This 492-nucleotide ribosomal RNA is filed under the name uncultured bacterium. RNAcentral describes it as "partial 16S ribosomal RNA". It matches the Rfam family "Bacterial small subunit ribosomal RNA", at positions 29 to 507 of the family's 1533-position model. The record is from RNAcentral.
AGUGAACGCUGGCGGUAGGCCUAACGCAUGCAAGUCGAACGGCAGCACAGUAAGAGCUUGCUCUUACGGGUGGCGAGUGGCGGACGGGCGAGGAAUACAUCGGAAUCUACUUUUUCGAGGGGGAUAACGUAGGGAAACUUACGCCAAUACCGCAUACGACCUACGGGUGAAUGCAGGGGAUCUUCGGACCUUGCGCGAUUGAAUGAGCCGAUGUCGGAUUAGCUAGUUGGCGGGGUAAAGGCCCACCAAGGCGACGAUCCGUAGCUGGUCUGAGAGGAUGAUCAGCCACACUGGAACUGAGACACGGUCCAGACUCCUACGGGAGGCAGCAGUGGGGAAUAUUGGACAAUGGGCGCAAGCCUGAUCCAGCCAUACCGCGUGGGUGAAGAAGGCCUUCGGGUUGUAAAGCCCUUUUGUUGGGAAAGAAAAGCAGCAGGUUAAUACCCCGCUGUUCUGACAGUACCCAAAGAAUAAGCACCGGCUAACUUCGUG